Molecule: non-coding RNA, 97 nt
Organism: Amanita muscaria Koide BX008
Lineage: Eukaryota; Fungi; Basidiomycota; Agaricomycetes; Agaricales; Amanitaceae
Source: Rfam
GUCACUUUGCCGGAGUGGUUAACGGGAUCGCCUGCUAUUCUGCAUAGCUGCCAGCGGUUGGGCUUUGCCCGCGAGUGUUCGAAUCGCUCAGGUGACG